AUGGACACUUUUGUCGCUGGCAAUGAUACUAGUGCAAGAACAAUAAACUGGGCAAUGGCGGAGCUAAUUAGGCACCCAAGGGUGCUCAAGAAGGUACAAGAAGAAAUCAGAACUGAGGUAGGGAAGAAAGAGAGGGUGCAAUACGAAGACAUGUCCAAGCUAAACUACUUGAGAAUGGUUGUCAAGGAGACCCUACGGCUGCGUAUCCCGGCGGCUUUGCUGGUUCCAAGGGAGACCUUAUGGAAGAUUCAGAUUGCAGGAUACGAAAUCCCAGCCAAGACAAGGGUUAUCGUAAAUGCAUGGGCUAUUGCUAGGGAUCCCAAUGUUUGGAAGGACCCGGAGGAGUUUUACCCUGAACGUUUUGAGGACACAGAUAUAGACUUCAAUGGGGCACAUUUCGAGCUUUUGCCCGCAUCUGCCCAGGAAUGGACGUGGGUGUGGCCAAUGUAG
Molecule: ribosomal RNA, 450 nt
Filed under: Triticum aestivum (bread wheat)
Lineage: Eukaryota; Viridiplantae; Streptophyta; Magnoliopsida; Poales; Poaceae
Description: partial small subunit ribosomal RNA
Source: RNAcentral